RNAcentral lists this ribosomal RNA (447 nucleotides) under uncultured bacterium. RNAcentral describes it as "bacterial SSU rRNA". It matches the Rfam family "Bacterial small subunit ribosomal RNA", at positions 330 to 794 of the family's 1533-position model. The record is from RNAcentral.
UCCAGACUCCUACGGGAGGCAGCAGUGGGGAAUAUUGCACAAUGGGGGAAACCCUGAUGCAGCGACGCCGCGUGAGUGAAGAAGUAUUUCGGUAUGUAAAGCUCUCUCAGCAGGGAAGAAAAUGACGGUACCUGACCAAGAAGCCCCGGCUAACUACGUGCCAGCAGCCGCGGUAAUACGUAGGGGGCAAGCGUUAUCCGGAUUUACUGGGUGUAAAGGGAGCGUAGACGGUUGUGCAAGUCAGAAGUGAAAGCCCGGGGCGCAACUCCGGGACUGCUUUUGAAACUGUCAGGCUGGAGUACAGGAGAGGUAAGCGGAAUUCCUAGUGUAGCGGUGAAAUGCGUAGAUAUUAGGAGGAACACCAGUGGCGAAGGCGGCUUACUGGACUGUAACUGACACUGAGGCACGAAAGCGUGGGGAGCAAGCAGGAUUAGAUACCCUGGUAAA